UUGUAGUCAUAAUCUGUUUUCAAAAAUAAACCCACCCAUUUUUAGUAUAAACCACUUUUUACAGUGAACUCGAAAAGGUCUUAAAACCACUAUUAUUGUUUUUGUUGUAGCCCCUCUACAGGGAUACCCGUGGUAAUUCUAGAGCUAAUACAUGCCAAAAACCCCGCCUCCGGGAGGGGUGUGUUUAUUAGAUAAAAAACCAACGCCCUUCGGGGCUCGCUGGUGAAUCAUGAUAACCUCACGAAUCGCAUGGCCUUGCGCCGGCGAUGGUUCAUUCAAAUUUCUGCCCUAUCAACUUCGAUGUAGAUAGCGGC
This 314-nucleotide ribosomal RNA is filed under the name uncultured fungus. RNAcentral's name for it is "partial 18S ribosomal RNA". It matches the Rfam family "Eukaryotic small subunit ribosomal RNA", at positions 21 to 340 of the family's 1831-position model. Lineage: Eukaryota; Fungi. The record is from RNAcentral.